ACUUGAGUGCAGUGCGCUCCUGCAGCAGUCACACAGAUAGGUGGGAUACAUCCUUGGUGGAGAAUCGCAGAGGCCUGCAGAGGAUCAGAAUGAGGUCAUUUGUGUUUGUGCCCGUUAGCUGAAGGAGGAGGAGGAUGUUUGCUGCUGGUGUUUUUAGCGCGUAUGCUAAUGUUAGCUCUCCUCAUGCAGUAUUUCUGUGUGUGUGAACAGCUAACAUAGCAGCCCGCGGCUUUCGACUUCACUUCCGUCUCUUUUCGAGCAGGAUGAUAGUAUCUCUGAAUCUGUGGUAGUCUAGGGAUUAAUCCGACACAUCUGAGAGAAACAUCAGAAACUGGCCCCGAGUCAGCUGUUGUUGUCUGCGCUGUGUUCAAGAGAGAGAGGCUGAAGAUGAGCAGGAGGAGGCCUGUGAGGUUCAUAUGAGCCUCUAGAGUGACUGACAGCUGUCUGUGGUGAGCAUGUCUGUGCACGAGGACUUAGAUCACCCGCGCUUCUUUGUGGGAGCGGAUGACGGCGAGGGAGACGAGUUGCUGGAUCCAGCCAGAGUGCUCGGCUAUGACUGCCUGUACGAGAACCUGGAAGAGGAGGAUGAGGACAGAGAUGAUGCAGAAUAUGAUUCGCCUCCUGAGAGACAGAUUUGUGGGGG
Molecule: long non-coding RNA, 643 nt
Organism: Sinocyclocheilus grahami
Lineage: Eukaryota; Metazoa; Chordata; Actinopteri; Cypriniformes; Cyprinidae
Exons: 4
Source: RefSeq, a predicted model, not a curated record